RNAcentral lists this transfer RNA (67 nucleotides) under Loxodonta africana (African savanna elephant). It matches the Rfam family "tRNA". From Rfam's summary of the family: Transfer RNA (tRNA) molecules are approximately 80 nucleotides in length. Their secondary structure includes four short double-helical elements and three loops (D, anti-codon, and T loops). Lineage: Eukaryota; Metazoa; Chordata; Mammalia; Proboscidea; Elephantidae. The record is from Rfam by way of RNAcentral.
GGUGGCGCAGCAGUUAAACAUUUGGCUGCUAACCGAAAGGACAGUGGUUCAAACCCACUUGCCACUC